RNAcentral lists this ribosomal RNA (492 nucleotides) under uncultured bacterium. Its description in RNAcentral is "partial 16S ribosomal RNA". It matches the Rfam family "Bacterial small subunit ribosomal RNA", at positions 29 to 507 of the family's 1533-position model. The record is from RNAcentral.
AGUGAACGCUGGCGGUAGGCCUAACACAUGCAAGUCGAACGGCAGCACAGUAAGAGCUUGCUCUUACGGGUGGCGAGUGGCGGACGGGUGAGGAAUACAUCGGAAUCUACUUUUUCGUGGGGGAUAACGUAGGGAAACUUACGCUAAUACCGCAUACGGCCUACGGGUGAAAGCAGGGGAUCUUCGGACCUUGCGCGAUUGGAUGAGCCGAUGUCGGAUUAGCUAGUUGGCGGGGUAAAGGCCCACCAAGGCGACGAUCCGUAGCUGGUCUGAGAGGAUGAUCAGCCACACUGGAACUGAGACACGGUCCAGACUCCUACGGGAGGCAGCAGUGGGGAAUAUUGGACAAUGGGCGCAAGCCUGAUCCAGCCAUACCGCGUGGGUGAAGAAGGCCUUCGGGUUGUAAAGCCCUUUUGUUGGGAAAGAAAAGCAGCAGGUUAAUACCCCGCUGUUCUGACGGUACCCAAAGAAUAAGCACCGGCUAACUUCGUG